ACCACGGUGUGGCCGAUGACUGGGGUGAAGUCGUAACAAGGUAGCCGUAGGGGAACCUGCGGCUGGAUCACCUCCUUAACGAA
RNAcentral lists this ribosomal RNA (83 nucleotides) under Acinetobacter baumannii. RNAcentral's name for it is "partial 16S ribosomal RNA". It matches the Rfam family "Bacterial small subunit ribosomal RNA", at positions 1456 to 1533 of the family's 1533-position model. The record is from RNAcentral. Lineage: Bacteria; Pseudomonadati; Pseudomonadota; Gammaproteobacteria; Moraxellales; Moraxellaceae.